AGCCGCCCCUCCCCCCACCGGCGGCCCCGGCUAUAACGGCUGCUGCACGCGGCCGGGAGGCGGGAGCGCAGUCACGUGACCCCGGUGGGACCGUUAUCCGCGGAGCAUGUUCUGUCCCGGGACAGUCAAUGAGCCGUGACGAGAGGGCAGCUGGGUACUGGGUUUCUGCUCCAGGUUCUUCACCUUUUGCUCAAGUUUCAACUUCUCGGACUCCAGUGACUGAACUACUGACUGCAAGGUUCUUGCAGAGGCAUUUUCUCCACGGAGCACUGUGAUCUGCAAUAAUUGGGAAUGCUUAGGCAGUUUGGAGUAAAACCAAAAGCAAUAAGGGAAUGCUAUUAUAGUAGAAUAAAUGCUAGAUUACCACCAAAAAGAUAAGCCAGUAAACAUAUGACAAACAAAAAACAAUGUUUGGAGCCUACUUUGAUUUGAAAAAAAGUAAAGACAGAAAUAGCAACAAGCUCUUGAAAAGUGAGUGCUCAUGAUUUUAUAUCCCUAUUUAGACACCUACGUAAACAAGUGGCCUAAUUUUCAGAAGUGCUGGGAGUACCCACAACUCCUAAGGAAGCCAGUGGAUGCUGAGCUCCUCUGAAUAUCAGCCACCUAUUUGGACACCGAAGGAAUGAUUUAGAAGGUCAACUGUAGGGAGCAGUUUUGGACAAAUCUGUAUGUUCCAGAAGUCAUUAAUAAAAUGUUUUAAAAAAGCCAA
Molecule: long non-coding RNA, 709 nt
Organism: Gopherus flavomarginatus (Mexican gopher tortoise)
Lineage: Eukaryota; Metazoa; Chordata; Testudines; Testudinidae
Exons: 2
Source: RefSeq, a predicted model, not a curated record